GGUGAGUGCCUGAGGGGAACACGUGCAGAGUCUCCUGAAAGAGGUUCCUGCGCAGCCCAAGACGCAGCGGUGGACGCAGUUCCCAGGAGUGUCCCAAGAGGACCCCGAGGGGGACAGGAAGGAUGGCCAACCCUGCAUCUGUAAGAUCCACACCGAGAAGGAGAGGUCCACACGACAGCACCCGCCCCUGGCCCCAGCUCUCCACUCUGGACACGAACAUCCCACAGGUUUAUUUAUUUACUUAUUUGUCGUAGUUGUAGGUGGACCGAUGCCUGUAGGUACCUCUAUGUGGGGCUAAGGAUGGAACCCAGGGCCUCACACGGGCUAGGCCAGCGCUCUGCCACUGAGCCACUGCCCGGCCCUCGCACAUGACUUUGAGGAGUCUCUUUCCC
Molecule: long non-coding RNA, 392 nt
Filed under: Ictidomys tridecemlineatus (thirteen-lined ground squirrel)
Lineage: Eukaryota; Metazoa; Chordata; Mammalia; Rodentia; Sciuridae
Description: lncRNA (ENSSTOG00000031295.1)
Source: RNAcentral